This 1455-nucleotide unclassified non-coding RNA is filed under the name uncultured Neocallimastigales. RNAcentral describes it as "partial contains small subunit ribosomal RNA, internal transcribed spacer 1, 5.8S ribosomal RNA, internal transcribed spacer 2, and large subunit ribosomal RNA". The stretch from base 691 to 1455 matches the Rfam family "Eukaryotic large subunit ribosomal RNA", at positions 1 to 618 of the family's 3401-position model. The record is from RNAcentral. Lineage: Eukaryota; Fungi; Neocallimastigomycota; Neocallimastigomycetes; Neocallimastigales.
UGGAAGUAAAAGUCGUAACAAGGUUUCCGUAGGUGAACCUGCGGAAGGAUCAUUAAAAAAUAUCACUCGAUUGAGAGUGAUUUAAUAAUCAUCCUACCCUUUGUGAAUUUGUUGUUUGAAAUAAUUUUUUUUGAUUUUAAAAAAAAAUUAUUUAUGGUUUUGUCUAUCCCUAAAAUUGGUUUGUUUGUUGUAAAAGACAAGUGAAUCAAUUUAGGGAAUAGGCUUUCAUAAAUAAGUUUUUUUAAAGUCUUAAAGACCUUUUUUUAAAAUUAAACUUUUGUAUUCAUUUGUCUAAAUUUUUUUUAAAAUAAUUUAAAAACAACUUUUGACAAUGGAUCUCUUGGUUCUCGCAACGAUGAAGAACGCAGAAAAAUGCGAUAAGUAAUGUGAAUUGCAGAAUACGUGAAUCAUCAAAUCUUCGAACGCAUAUUGCACUUUUUUAGUUUACUAAAAAAGUAUGUCUGUUUGAGUAUCAGUAAAAUAUUCUCAUAAAAACAUUUUUUGUUUUUAUGGUUAUGAGUGUUUUACAACGAUAAACAAGUCGUUUCACUUUAAAUUCAUUUUAAUUAAGACCUUUAUGGUUUUAAUAAUUAAAAUUGGAUAAAAUUUUCCCGUAAAAGGAAUAAACUUUUCAGUUUUAGUUAGAGAAAUCUCGGUCCGAUUUUAAAAGGAAAUUUAUUUUAAAUAACUUGAUCUCAAAUCAGAUAAGAGUACCCGCUGAACUUAAGCAUAUCAAUAAGCGGAGGAAAAGAAACUAACAAGGAUUCCCUUAGUAACGGCGAGUGAAGCAGGAAGAGCUCAAAUUUGAAAUCUUCAAGGUUCUACCUUGACGAAUUGUAGUUUAAAGAAGUGUUUUCUGUUAGAUGAGUAGCAAAAGUUCCUUGGAAUGGGACAUCAUAGAGGGUGAGAAUCCCGUAUUUGGUUAUUCAUUCUAGCUUUGUGAUACACUUUCAAAGAGUCGGAUUGUUUGGGAAUGCAGUCCAAAAUGAGUAGUAAAUUUCAUCUAAAGCUAAAUAUUGGCGAGAGACCGAUAGCGAACAAGUACCGUGAGGGAAAGAUGAAAAGAACUUUGAAAAGAGAGUUAAACAGUACGUGAAAUUGUCAAAAGGGAAGCGUUUGACACCAGUGUUGUUUUUCCGAAAAUCAAUUACGAAUGGCUUGAUUUUGUGUUGUAUUGACCUUAUCAGCUUUCUUCACUUUUUUCGAGUCUUUCUUAAUGCACUUUUCGGUUAACAAGUCAACAUCAAUUUCUUUUGUUGUAAAAGAGUAUUCGGAAGGUGGCUUUCUUUUCGGAGAAAGUGUUUAUAGCCCUAUACUUCUACAAUCGGAGAGAUUGAGGUCUGCAGCGUAGAUCCUUCGGGGUUAGAUACAUUUGUGCUAAGUUGUAGCUUCUCAUAGACAACUUGUUGACUAUGUUUAGUCAUGCGGCUUACUCGCUUAUACUAUUUUACCUAC